RNAcentral lists this ribosomal RNA (460 nucleotides) under uncultured bacterium. RNAcentral's name for it is "partial 16S ribosomal RNA". It matches the Rfam family "Bacterial small subunit ribosomal RNA", at positions 338 to 795 of the family's 1533-position model. The record is from RNAcentral.
CCUACGGGAGGCAGCAGUGAGGAAUAUUGGUCAAUGGACGGAAGUCUGAACCAGCCAUGCCGCGUGCAGGAAGACGGCUCUAUGAGUUGUAAACUGCUUUUGUACAAGGGUAAACCUGAAUACGUGUAUUCCGCUGAAAGUACUGUACGAAUAAGGAUCGGCUAACUCCGUGCCAGCAGCCGCGGUAAUACGGAGGAUCCAAGCGUUAUCCGGAUUUAUUGGGUUUAAAGGUCGCGUAGGCGGAUUGAUAAGUUGGGGGUGAAAUGUCCGAGCUUAACUCGGGAACUGCCUCUAAUACUGUUGAUCUAGAGAGUAGGUGCGGUAGGCGGAAUGUAUGGUGUAGCGGUGAAAUGCUUAGAGAUCAUACAGAACACCGAUUGCGAAGGCAGGUUACCAAUCUAUAUCUGACGUUGAGGCACGAAAGCGAGGGGAGCAAACAGGAUUAGAUACCCCUGUAGUC